Non-coding RNA from Ceratotherium simum simum (southern white rhinoceros), 125 nucleotides. The record is from RefSeq and is a predicted model, not a curated record. Lineage: Eukaryota; Metazoa; Chordata; Mammalia; Perissodactyla; Rhinocerotidae.
ACUGUGGUACAUCUAUACCAUGGACUACUUAGCAAUAAAAAAGAACAAACUAUUGAUAUACCCAACAACUUGGAUGGCUCCUAAGGGUAUUAUGCUCAGUAAAAAAGGCCAAUCUCAAAAAGUCA